GAUGAACGCUGGCGGCGUGCUUAACACAUGCAAGUCGAACGGAAAGGCUCCUGCUUGCAGGGGUACUCGAUUGGCGAACGGGUGAGUAACACGUGGGUGAUCUGCCCUGCACUUCGGGAUAAGCCUGGGAAACUGGGUCUAAUACCGGAUAGGACGAUGGUUUGGAUGCCAUUGUGGAAAGUUUUUCGGUGUGGGAUGAGCUCGCGGCCUAUCAGCUUGUUGGUGGGGUAAUGGCCUACCAAGGCGUCGACGGGUAGCCGGCCUGAGAGGGUGUACGGCCACAUUGGGACUGAGAUACGGCCCAGACUCCUACGGGAGGCAGCAGUGGGGAAUAUUGCACAAUGGGCGCAAGCCUGAUGCAGCGACGCCGCGUGGGGGAUGACGGCCUUCGGGUUGUAAACUCCUUUCGCUAGGGACGAAGCGCAAGUGACGGUACCUGGAGAAGAAGCACCGGCUAACUACGUG
This 465-nucleotide ribosomal RNA is filed under the name uncultured bacterium. Its description in RNAcentral is "partial 16S ribosomal RNA". It matches the Rfam family "Bacterial small subunit ribosomal RNA", at positions 28 to 507 of the family's 1533-position model. The record is from RNAcentral.